RNAcentral lists this unclassified non-coding RNA (1004 nucleotides) under Hevea brasiliensis (rubber tree). Lineage: Eukaryota; Viridiplantae; Streptophyta; Magnoliopsida; Malpighiales; Euphorbiaceae. The record is from RNAcentral.
UGGACAUGCCCAUCUGCUGGGUUUUUACUUGUCAUUAAUUUAUAGGCAAUUUUGAGCACAGCAUGCGUAAUGCAGAAUGAUAUAUAUUUACUUUAGUUCAUUUUACAGUUUGAGAGAUACUCAUUUUGCUUAUUCAGAAAGAAACAGUGCGAGGAGAAAAUUCUUUUGAAACCCUUGAGAACUACGGCAAAUCAUUCCUUCUAACUAUGACUUGAAUCUUUCCACUGUAUUAGAUGAGGAUUUUUCUCAUUGAUUUCACUAUGGUCUAUGCAUCUGCAAAGACCUGCAAAAAUUAGUUCACUUGAAUGACCUCAUGCAAUUUAUUUGACAUGUUUGUUACUGUAAGUAUCUGUUACUUGGCUUGAUCUAUGUGGGAAAGAAAAAGCUUGAGCAUUAGGACCACGAUUAUAAUUAUAAGGUAAUACAUGGGUAUCUUUGCAAAAAGGAAAAAAAGACAUGUAGAUAUGUACGUACUUAAGAUCAAGUGUCAUUGUUUUCAACUGAUACCAUCAUUAAUGUUUGAUUUUGCUUGCUCAUGUGGUUAUGUUCUUGGCCCUAUUAAAAUCUUUCAAUUGAUGGGAUAGCUGAUCCUUUUGCUUCUAAGCAAGUAAAAUUUUCACUUGGAAGCUAAGCGGAGAACAAGCUUCGACAAUUCGAAAUCCAACACAACUUGCAUUACAUGCUUGAGGCUACUAGACUGGUCCCACUUGGGGGGUCAUUGCUUGGUCUGCUUCAUACUAUAUUCACUCUGCUGCAAUAGUUUUAGAAAAUUCUGUUUCCUACUUUUCUUUGUAUUCUCAUUUCUAUUUUGCAUCAAUAUUUUUUUUUUAGCAAGGGGAUUGGAGAAGUGAGGCUCGAACCUGGUUCUACCACGUGAGUUAUAUGUCUUUAAUUACUGGAUCAAGUCAGGUUAGACUGCCAAUUAACAUCAGUGAUUGAAUUUAGAAGGAAGUUUUUAUAAUAACUUUGUUUUUUUACAGAAUAAAUAUAACUUUGUUUUUUUA